GGUGAACGCUGGCGGCGUGCUUAAGACAUGCAAGUCGAACGCAGUCUUCGGACUGAGUGGCGCACGGGUGAGUAACACGUAACUGACCUACCCCCAAGUCGCGGAUAACUGGCCGAAAGGUCAGCUAAUACGUGAUGUGAUGUCCCCUUUCUGGGGGGCCAUUAACGGUUUACUGCUUGGGGAUGGGGUUGCGUUCCAUCAGCUAGUGGGCGGGGUAAAGGCCCACCAAGGCAACGACGGAUAGCCGGCCUGAGAGGGUGGCCGGCCACAGGGGCACUGAGACACGGCUCCCACUCCUACGGGAGGCAGCAGUUAGGAAUCUUCCACAAUGGGCGAAAGCCUGAUGGAGCGACGCCGCGUGAGGGAUGAAGGUUCUCGGAUCGUAAACCUCUGAAUCAGGGACGAAAGACGCGUAAGCGGGAUGACGGUACCUGAGUAAUAGCACCGGCUAACUCCGUGCCAGCCGCCGCGGUAA
This 475-nucleotide ribosomal RNA is filed under the name uncultured bacterium. Its description in RNAcentral is "partial 16S ribosomal RNA". It matches the Rfam family "Bacterial small subunit ribosomal RNA", at positions 28 to 523 of the family's 1533-position model. The record is from RNAcentral.